Long non-coding RNA from Gallus gallus (chicken), 4546 nucleotides. The record is from Ensembl. Lineage: Eukaryota; Metazoa; Chordata; Aves; Galliformes; Phasianidae.
UUUUUUUUUUUUUGUUUGUUUUUUUUAAAUCUGUUUAGGAGCUGAAUCAAGUGACUGCACUCUGAGGGCUGGUAAAGAGCAAGGAGUUCUUUUAAACAAAAGUAGAUUGAUUGUGAAAUGAGCAAUGCAGAGUGAUGGGUCCAAGAUCGCAAGAAAUUAAAUUUGCUAAUUUAGGACAUAACUCUCGGAUGUGCCUAUGAUCAUGGACAAUAUGGAAAGGCAAUGGAAUGAAAAAUUGCAAAAUCAUUCUUAUAUUGGACAGGGAUGACCUGCAUCAAUAUCAACUGACUUUAUUUUAUGGUGGCACACUGAGGAAAAGUGAUGCCACAUUCUUGUUUCAGCUUGACAGGAACACAAAUCACAGCUGACAGUAAUUUGAAUUCUUUUGGAUGUAGAUGCAGAAGUUGCCAAUGUUCACCACUGAAACAGGAUGAACCUUUGGCAACCAGUCUAGGGACUGAGUGAAAGACCACUGGAGACCUGUUGAAGUACAAGAGGGAGAUUCAUUCUCUGCUUGUGUUCUGUUCCUGUUCUGAUCUUUACUAAAAGGAAUGCAGAAUUUUUUAUUGCUGCUUAUUGCUUCUUCAUGUAGUUGCAUAGUGAGUUCCAUGUCUCUCUAUGUGGAUUAACUACAGCAUCAAAAAUACACAGGUCUUCAUUCUAUCCUAUCCUUUUGUUGUUCUGCCAAGUAAAAGGAAAGAUAAUUUUGUUAUCCAGAGAGUCACUUUUAGGUAUUGAUCAGGUUUCAUGUGAUAAGCCCUCCAGCACUAGUUUGCCAGCAUCAAAGCAUCGUGCUUUUUCUUUCAGGUCUUCUGUUUUUUUCUUUUCUGUAACCCCUUGGGUAGUAGUCAUUGAAAGAUACAACCACUUUUUGCCAGUACAUAAAAUAAAAUUAUUCAUUAUUUAGAGAUUUUUGAACAUUUUUGGGUAGCAUAAAGCUCUCAUAAAUACUCCUGAAUGCUCAAAAAACAUAUUUUUGAGUGCUUGUGUACACAACAAAUAACAUCUUCUAGUGUUUAGGUGUUCCUAGGUAUUGAAUCACUUACAAAAUGGAAUUUGAAUAUUAACAUAUUACUACAGCAUCUAAACAUUUUUUAAAUGCAUGAACUUAAAAAAAAAAUAAUAACUAAUUCUUCUUGAAACACUAAAGUUAAGCACUGGUAGAUUUUAAUCUGUUUCAUUAGAGUGAACCUGCUCUAGGCCAGAAUUGUCCCUAGUAACUCAAAAAUAUUGAAAGAAACAGGAACUGAGAGAGAUCUGUGUAUGUAAAGGUGGGCUUCAGAUAACAUAAAUGAGUUAGAGAAUAGCAUAUUUGCUAUGACAUUGCACAGUAAGUGAUAGUGUGAUUGUUUAUUUUCCUAAUAAUAUUCCUGAAAGAUGUUUGAAAAGGUUUCUCUUUGAUCGGUGAUCCCUAAUCCACAACAGGGCACAUGCAUCUGCAUGCCUUCUCAUAGAUAAUUUAAAAGUAACAUUUAUAAGCUUCUGCUGUAACAGUAAAAUGUAUGCAGUCAGAAAAUAGAGUACUCCAUUCCUUAUCUCCUCCUAGAACUGACAUGUCAUCCACCCAUUGAACAAGUAUCUAUUGUCCACUUCUUGAUUUUAGAUGUGGAGAGCUUUAGAGUACAAUGACCAGGACAGGAACAAAUCAAAACCUUCACAUAAUAUACAACAAUCCACAAGUGUCACAUAUCUUUGAUGCAUUUUCAGAUAGAUUGUUUGUAUUGCACAGAGUCCUAGAUAUCAUUAAGUACAUUUAAAUGUAUUUACUAGGAAUGCAGAGAAUAUGAGCAGAUGUUCCUGCUUCUUUCUGUAAGACACUGAGUGGCCAGAUGUUUUAAAAGUUUCUUCCAAUUUUGGACAUUACAAAAGUUUUAAAAACAGAUAGAAUGUUUCAGACGACCUUGCUUAGCUUGAUGUUGUACUCAAAAUCUGAGUCACUGGUGGUCAAAAACUUUUAAGGCUAAGUGUUCAGUUAUCAGUACAACAAAGUGGUAAACCAGAAGAAAGUUAUAUAGUAUUAUAUAUUGCUGUUCUUUGGGGGUAGAUUUGCAAAUGGGACAUGCUAGUCAUAAAGCAGAGCAUUGCUACCUGAAACCAAUCCAGAAAAAACGAUUGUUUCAGAUUUACCAUUAAUUCUCUGAAUGCACUGACUGACCACCAAUGACUUAAUCUCUAUUGCUUUAUUAUUCAUUGCAGUGAGAUUAGUCAUAUACUUAAUAACUCUUCUGAAUCAGGAUAUAAUUUCAUAAACUACAGUGUUCUACUGCCUAAUUUAAGAGCAUAACUUCUAUCUGCCAAAUGAUUUCUAUUUGAUGAAAGUUUUGUCUUUGUGAAAUCAGAUGACUACUCCGCUCAUUUCACUUCCCCUGUCACUCCUUGAUCACGUGAAAUGUUCUGUGAGGAUAAAAUGGUUAUCCUUACAUCCUUAGGCAGACUUUUAGGGAGGGGCUGUGUUGAGUUUAUGUGAUGGAAAGCGCUCUGAAGGGGAGGAUUCUGUAUGGAAGAGUCCAGAAAUUGCCCCAUGCCAGAUCAGAGACAGCUCCAGUUGGCUCAGAAAGGGACCCACUGCUGGCCAGAGCUGAGCCAUAAGCGACAUGGGGAAAUGGCUUUAAACUGGAAGAGGGUAGAUUUAGACUAGAUGUUAGGAAGCAGUUCUUCACUGUGAGGGUGAUGAAAUAUUGGACCAGGUUGACCAGUGAGGUUGUGAAUGUCCCCUCCCUGCAAGCAUUCAAGGCCAGGAUGCAUGGGGCUUUGAGCAACCUAGUCUAGAGGGAAGUGUCCCUGACUAUAGCAGGGUGCUGGAACUGGAUGAUCUUAAAGAUCAUCUAGUGUCCUUUCCAACCCAAACGCCUUUCAGGCAACUGUAGAGAGCAAGAGGUCCCUCUAGAGCCUCCCCUUCUUCACACUAAACAAUCCCAGUUUCCUCCCUCUCCCCAUAAAACUAUUGCUCCAAUCUUCUCAACUUCAUUGUCCUUCUCUGGACACACUCCAGGUCCUCUAUGUCCUUCUUGUAGUGAGAGGCCCAAAACUAAACACACUAUCAAGAUGUAGCCACACAAGAUGAGUACAGGUGGAUAAUCACUUCCUUGCUCCUGCUGGCAGCUAUAUUUCUGAUACAAGCUAGGAUGCCACUGGUCUUCUUGGUUACCUGGGCACACUGCUGACUCAUGUUCAGCUGAGCAUCAAUCAGUGCCCCCAGGUCUAUUUCCUCAACACGGUCUUCCAGCCACUCUUCCCCAAGCCUGUAGCGUUGCCUGGAGUUGUUGCAGCCAAAGUGCAUGACCCAACUUGUUCCAGUGCCUCACCACCCCCACAGAAAAGAAUGUAUUCAUUAAUCUAAAUCUACCCUCCCUGUCUUUCCUAUAGGCCCCAGUUAAGUACUGGAAGUUCACUAUUAGGUCACCCUGAAGGUUCACUUAUUUAAACUAAACUAUCUCAACUCUCUCAGCCUGACUUCACAGUGCUCCGGCCCUCUGAUCAGCCUCAUGGCCUUCCUUUGGACUCACUCCAACAAAUCCGUGUCUUUCUUAUGCUAAGGGGCCCAGAGCUGAACAUAGUACACCAGGCUGCGUCUCAUGAGAGCAAAGGGAGAGUCAGAAUCACCUUUCACCUGCUGGUCACAAUUCUCUUGAUGCAGCACAGGAUACAUUUAGCUUUCAGGUUACAGGUGUGCACUGCUGUCUCAUAUUCUGUUUUUUAUUGACAGAGAUUUUCUCCUCAGAGCUGUUCUCAGUCUCUUUAUGCAGCCUGUAUUUGUGCUUGAAAUUGCCCCAACUCAUUUGAAGGACCUUACAUUGAACACUAUGAUGUUUGCAUCGGCCCACUUCUUAAGCUUGUCAAAGUCCUUCUGGAUGGCAUAUCUUCCCUCCAGUAUGUUGGCUGCAGAACACAGCUUGGUGACAUCCAACACCUAUUUCUUCUAAGUACUGAGAGAAGGAUAAACCUGAUCGAGUCAACUGCUCUGUUACCAUUUCAUUCUGAAGGCUUUCUUUGAACUCAGUAUUAAAAAUAUCAAUACUCAGUAAUGUCAAUACAGAAAGAGAUGUUAUUUUACUCUCCCAAAUGAGAUGAUGCAGCCAGUAGCAAACUGAGAAUAUCUCUCAAACAAGAACAAGAAAGAAUACUUGUGACAGAUGAACUUUGCUGUCAUUCCCAUACCCAAUUUUGAAUGACACGAAGCUUCUGACUGCUUAGAUUUAUUUUAAUGAUGUCCUUAGACUGAAAGCUUAUGUUUGUAAAAACAUAUAGAGUAUCAUGCUAGUGACAAUAGAUAAAAAAUAAAUAAUGAGCCUCAGUGAGAAAGUUUUCUGAGUUUAAGCCUACAAAUCAAAUCCUCCAUGCCUCUAUUAUGCCUUCUGUCAGCAUUAAGUUGAUCCCACCAUCAGAGAAGUUAUAACUCUGUGAAUCACUAUUUACUCUAGUUAGUGCUUCACAGUGAUCAACUUAGGAGCUCCAUGGUCAUCCAAAAAGCUCAAAUUUAGCAUAUUUGACAAUGAAAAUAGACACCUAGUUUUGUUUUCUUUGUCGAUAGAAGUAUUUCAACCUC